GAAGCAAUUCGUUUGGGUGGUGCAGUAUUCUAGUCAGUCUUCCUGUCAUGAAGGUGGGCCUAAAAAUCCACUAAAGGGCACAUCGAUGAAGUUCCUGGUUUUGGCUUGAGGAGCCCAGCCUUGGGUUGAUGUUGGGAGUAAGGCAUUAGGGCGAUCCACAAUGGCAUGUGGGCGUUGACCCUUUCGCCGCGGAGGCUCUAAAUGUGUAGAUUUUCAAAGGGCGAUUACUGCAUGUUUAGAGUAUGAACCUGUGAGACGGGCCAUUCUACUUGGUCAGUGAGCAGCGUAGCCUGCCUUGAGUGAGGUAUGAGGGGAUUAUGGUAACAGAGUACACAUUAGUUGGCCAUUAAUAUGUGCUUUUUCGUCCAUAUGAAAUCUGCUUUGCAAAAGAGGCUAAGGACAGGUUAAAGACUGUUGAGGAAAACUCCUAGACUGUUCCAAAAGACAUAUAAAGGGGAUUAUAGUACGGACUAAGUGGUAAUCCAGUCUAACUGAUGGUGACACAGUUAAGGCGACUUUAAAGGGAAACCGCCAGAAUGGCAACAUCUGGUAGUUGUCUGGGAAAACCUACUGGACCUAAGCCGUAAUUUUUAUCCUUUGUGUGGCCAUCCAAACUAUACAUAAU
This 625-nucleotide small RNA is filed under the name Bacillus coahuilensis p1.1.43. The record is from RNAcentral. Lineage: Bacteria; Bacillati; Bacillota; Bacilli; Caryophanales; Bacillaceae.